AUACGAACCGUCCAAACGUUAUUCGGAAUUACUGGGCUUAAAGGGUGCGUAGGCGGCCCGGGAAGUUGGGUGUGAAAGCCCUCGGCUCAACCGAGGAACUGCGCCCAAAACUGCCGGGCUCGAGGGAGAUAGAGGUGAGCGGAACUUAGGGUGGAGCGGUGAAAUGCGUUGAUAUCCUAAGGAACACCGGUGGCGAAAGCGGCUCACUGGGUCUCUUCUGACGCUGAGGCACGAAAGCUAGGGUAGCGAACGGGAUUAGAUACCCCGGUAGUCCUAGCCCUAAACGAUGAGCACUAGAUCGAAGGACACUCCAUAGUCUUUUGGUCGAAGCGAAAGUGUUAAGUGCUCCGCCUGGGGAGUAUGGUCGCAAGGCUGAA
This 377-nucleotide ribosomal RNA is filed under the name uncultured bacterium. RNAcentral describes it as "bacterial SSU rRNA". It matches the Rfam family "Bacterial small subunit ribosomal RNA", at positions 523 to 898 of the family's 1533-position model. The record is from RNAcentral.